AGAGUUUGAUCCUGGCUCAGAAUCAACGCUGGCGGCGUGCCUAACACAUGCAAGUCGAACGCGAAAGCCCCGCAAGGGGUAAGUAGAGUGGCAAACGGGUGAGUAACACGUGGGUGACCUGCCUUCGAGUGGGGGAUAACGUCCCGAAAGGGACGCUAAUACCGCAUGACAUCCUGCCUUUGGACAGGCGGAGAUCAAAGCCGGGGAUCGCAAGACCUGGCGCUUGAAGAGGGGCCCGCGCCUGAUUAGCUAGUUGGUGGGGUAAUGGCCUACCAAGGCGACGAUCAGUAUCCGGCCUGAGAGGGCGGACGGACACACUGGGACUGAGACACGGCCCAGACUCCUACGGGAGGCAGCAGUGGGGAAUUGUUCGCAAUGGGCGCAAGCCUGACGACGNAACGCCGCGUGGAGGAUGAAGAUCUUCGGGUCGUAAACUCCUGUCGAGCGGGAAGAAACUCACGAGGGUGAAUAGCCCUUGUGGCUGACGGUACCGCUAAAGGAA
Molecule: ribosomal RNA, 502 nt
Filed under: uncultured bacterium
Lineage: Bacteria
Description: bacterial SSU rRNA
Rfam family: Bacterial small subunit ribosomal RNA
Source: RNAcentral